RNA transcript from Chinchilla lanigera (long-tailed chinchilla), 2047 nucleotides. It is a transcript of the gene named lipopolysaccharide-binding protein, with no coding region annotated. NCBI's taxonomy places the organism in Eukaryota, Metazoa, Chordata, Mammalia, Rodentia, Chinchillidae. The transcript is spliced from 16 exons. The record is from RefSeq and is a predicted model, not a curated record.
UUAAGGGAGCCAGCCCAGCCCUUGGGACAGUCCCACUACCCACUGCGAGUCCAGGAUGGGGGCUUUGCAAGGGCCCCUGCUGUCCCUCCUGCUGGGGCUGCUGCUCACAUCUGCCCCAGAGGGUCUGGGAGCCAACCCAGGCCUGGUUGCCAGGAUCACUGACAAGGGCCUGGCAUACGCGGCCCAGGAGGGACUGUCAGCUCUACAGAAAGAGCUGCAGGAGAUCACGCUGCCUGAUUUGGAUGGGGACUUCAAGAUAAGCCGCAUCGGCCGUGGGAACUAUGAGUUCCACAGCCUGGACAUCCGCAGCUGUGAGCUGCGCAGCUCUGCACUGAAGCCGCUGCCCAGCCAUGGCCUGAGUCUCUCCGUCACCGACUCGUCCAUCCACGUGCAGGGCAGGUGGAAGGUGAAGGUGCACAGGUUCCUGAAACUACAAGGCUCCUUUGACCUGCAGGUCAAGGGCAUCACCAUUAUUGUCAACCUCCUGCUGGGCAGCGAGCCCUCGGGAAGACCCAUGGUCACUGCCUCCAGCUGCAACAGCCACAUCGAGAAAGUGGAGGCGGACCUAUCAGGGGGCUUGGGGUGGGUGCUGAAGCUCUUCCACGACCAGAUUGAAUCCAGGUUCCGCAGAACUUUGGAGAGCAAGAUUUGUGAAAUAGUUGAGGAAUCAGUGACCUCCGACCUACAGCCUUACCUCCAAACCCUGCCGGUCACAGCGGAGAUUGACAGCUUCUUAGAUGUUGACUACAGUUUAACAGAAGCCCCUCAAGCCACAGCCCAGAUGCUGGAUGUGAUGUUUAAGGGAGAAAUUUUCCAUCAUGACCACCGCUCCCCAGUUGCUCUUCUUCCUCCCGUCUUGAGCCUUCCAGAAGAUCACAGCCAGAUGGUCUACUUCGCCAUCUCCGACUACGUCUUCAAUACUGCCAGCCUGGUUUACUACCAGGCCGGGUACAUGAACUUCUCCAUCACAGACGAUAUGAUUCCGCCUGACUCUCCCUUCCGACUAACCACCAAGUCCUUUCGAGCCUUUGCUCCCCGGAUAGCCAGGCUGUAUCCCAACAUGAACUUGGAGCUCCAGGGAGGAGUGGUCUCUGCCCCACUCCUAAACUUGAGUCCUGGGAAUCUGUCCUUGGCCCCCCAGAUGGAGAUUGAGGGCUUUGUGCUCCUGCCAGACUCUGUCAGAAAAUCUGUCUUCCGGCUUGGUGUGGCCACUAAUGUAUCUGCCACGCUGACCUUCAACAGCAGCAGGAUUACUGGGAUCUUGGACCCUGGAAAGUUACACGUGGAACUGAAAGAAUCCAGAGUAGGUGUAUUCAAUGUGGAGCUGCUGGGAGGCUUCCUCAACUACUUCAUGGUCAACAAUGUCUACCCAGAGGUCAAUGAGAAACUGGCCCAAGGAUUCCCCCUACCUCUGCUAAAGCGUAUUCAGCUCUACGACCUUGUUUUCCAGAUCCACAAGGACCAGCCCCCCGCAGCUGGGAAAGCUGGACGCGGCAGCAACCUCCAGGAGCUGCACUAUCCCACCAAGCCAUCCCAGGUCCUGUGGACAUGGCACCUCUACUGGGACAGCAGGACUAUGGUGAAGCUCUGAGACCCUCCCACAGGAGAGCUGCAGGGACCUCAAAACCAGCUCAUUUUCAGAAUAGGAACCAACUUGCCAGCAGGACUUCCUGUUCUUGGGUGCCAAUGUCCAGUACAUGAGAGUUUGAGGGCAAGAAGAAAGAGGGAUCUUGGAGGCCACAACUGGAUCUGUACAUACCAGAUGUACUGCGCAUCCCUGGAGAUUCUCAGAGGACAGAGAUAAGGACACUUCUUUCUCAGCUCUGGGGUGAGGUCUGCCUGGCCCCUGCUCCACACACCUCCACACCCAGCCCUCUCAGACCCCAGACUUUACACUCUGCUUCAGCAUGGACCGCCUCUCCCAGCUGACCUGUGACAUCUUUAAGAGCACCCCAUUUUUUUAUUCACUAUCUGAUCUCCAUGUCUAGCCAAGUGCUAGCACUUAGUAGGUCCGCAAUAAAUAUUUAUGGAAUGACUUGUGAAUGAA